GACGAACGCUGGCGGCGUGCCUAAUACAUGCAAGUAGAACGCUGAAGGAGGAGCUUGCUUCUCUGGAUGAGUUGCGAACGGGUGAGUAACGCGUAGGUAACCUGCCUGGUAGCGGGGGAUAACUAUUGGAAACGAUAGCUAAUACCGCAUAAUAGCAGUUGUUGCAUGACAACUGUUUGAAAGGUGCAAUUGCACCACUACCAGAUGGACCUGCGUUGUAUUAGCUAGUUGGUGGGGUAACGGCUCACCAAGGCGACGAUACAUAGCCGACCUGAGAGGGUGAACGGCCACACUGGGACUGAGACACGGCCCAGACUCCUACGGGAGGCAGCAGUAGGGAAUCUUCGGCAAUGGACGGAAGUCUGACCGAGCAACGCCGCGGGAGUGAAGAAGGUUUUCGGAUCGGAAAGCUCUGUUGUAAGAGAAGAACGAGUGUGAGAGUGGAAAGUUCACACUGUGACGGUAUCUUACCAGAAAGGGACGGCUAACUACGUG
RNAcentral lists this ribosomal RNA (495 nucleotides) under uncultured bacterium. RNAcentral describes it as "partial 16S ribosomal RNA". It matches the Rfam family "Bacterial small subunit ribosomal RNA", at positions 28 to 507 of the family's 1533-position model. The record is from RNAcentral.